GGCCGCAGUAUAUUAACUGUGCAAAGGUAGCAUAAUCAUUAGUCUUUUAAUUGAAGGCUGGAAUGAAUGGUUGGACAAAAUAUUAACUGUUUCAUAUUAAUUUAUAAUAGAAUUUUAUUUUUUAGUUAAAAAGCUAAAAUUUAUUUAAAAGACGAGAAGACCCUAUAAAUCUUUAUAUUUAUAAUUAUUAUAAUUUUUUAGAAAUAUUUAAUUAUUAUAGUUUAAAAUAUUUUAUUGGGGUGAUAUUAAAAUUUAAUAAACUUUUAAUUUAUUUUAUCAUUAAUAUAUGAAUAAUUGAUCCGUUAUUAACGAUUAAAAAAAUAAGUUACUUUAGGGAUAACAGCGUAAUUUUUUUGGAGAGUUCAUAUUAAUAAAAAAGAUUGCGACCUCGAUGUUGGAUU
Molecule: ribosomal RNA, 401 nt
Filed under: Pexopsis pilosa
Lineage: Eukaryota; Metazoa; Arthropoda; Insecta; Diptera; Tachinidae
Description: partial 16S rRNA
Source: RNAcentral